GGGGGCUGCUUAUUCCAAUUUUGCGAAUGGGGGAAAUGUGUAUAUUUCAAUUUCUGACGUGCUAAUAAAAAAUGAGUAGAGGUGCAUUAUUCAUUUAUAACUGAAUAAGUGAACUAAUAAAAUUUGGUUAUUUUGAUAGGAGUAUGUUCAGUUUGGUUAGUUAUAGGUUCUUAUUCCUAAACUUUUCAGUUAUUCGUUUUUUGAUGAUUGGGUUAUUAAAGGUGAGAAGCAAAGGUCAGUGCUAUGUUGUUAUUAAAGGUAAGAAGUUUAAGUUGUUAUUGAUUUAGUUUAUUUCAAACUUUGAAAACGUUCAGUUUUCACUAUCAGUGAGUUGUAUAUCAACUAUGGGGAUCAAAUGUGGAAU
Molecule: unclassified non-coding RNA, 364 nt
Filed under: Hevea brasiliensis (rubber tree)
Lineage: Eukaryota; Viridiplantae; Streptophyta; Magnoliopsida; Malpighiales; Euphorbiaceae
Source: RNAcentral